CUUAUGAAGUUGUAUUGGAAAAAGUGGUGUAAAAUCUCAUCAUAUUUUAGUAUACGGUCCAUUAUUGACUGGUCAUAUUACAAACAACGACUUAGCUCUGUUGUACCGAAGAUCAUUACCAUUCCUGCAGCGAUGCAGAAGGUACGCUGUUUCUUAUAAACAUUCGAUGAAGUAUUGCACUUCUUUGGCAUGUAAGCGUUAGUUUACUUUCAAAAUUGUCUGUCUUUUUUUCUUUCUCAGGUAUCAAACCCUAUUCCAAGAGUAGUUCAUCCUCAUUGGUUGUACAAGAAGGUUCGUGAAAAAGAGGACAAAAUGAGGCAAAGAAAAGUAGACGACAUUUUUCGUUCAGUGAACAAAGUAAAUAGCGAUGACCAGAAAUCUUGAUCCUCGGUCUUCUUCCCCAUUUCUAUGCGGUAUUCAGCAACAAGUAGUUUCAGUGACAUGAAGGUUGCAAGCAUUGUCCUGCUAAAGGGUGGAGCUCCUCCCAAGUUUUCUCAGAGGACUCAACUGGUAACCGAGAGUUACCAAGUCGUUUGAUCGAUGUUUUUGUCAUUCAGAGUGAAUCUACCAGUCCUUGGCUUCUGAAUUUUAUCUACAUAAACACGCUUUUUGUUCAUCUUUUAAUCAUCAUAUGAUAAUAUAUAUUUUCGAAUUUUAAUCGAGUAACCCUAGAAACCUAACUAAGUCUGUGGGCUCAUAGUCUAAUAGACAGGUAAUACUGUUAUAUUUUGGUGAAAGUGAAUUGUCGUGUAUAGAGAAUAUUGUUAUUCUAACACCAAAGGAUCUAUUUGAUUUUUAUAACACGUAGUCGAUCAUGUGAAAUAUUCCAGCAUCUGACAUUAUUGAAUCAUGCUCUGUAGCUAGGGAUUUUAACGUAACAAGAAUGGCACGCAAGAAGAUCUGAGAAUUUGAUUCAAAGAGGCUGGUGAAGGAGCAUUUUAAAUGGAUGUCUGGUUCCGAAUUGGCUAUUAAAUCAGCAUAGGUGGAUAUGACAAAGAAGAGAAAGCAGCUUAGGCUUAUGAUAUGGCUGCACUCAACUACUGGGGCACUUCUGCCACCACCAACUUUCCGGUGACCACAACCAUUAUCGCAGGUAUUUUUCAUGUUCUUGCAGCCACGGAAGGUGAAGGUGUUGUUCAGAUGACAUCAGUGGUUGUGGAAGUUGAAGAGAAUAAGAGUGCCAAAGAGAAGAAUGAGAUGAGUUCUGCUGUGAAUGAAGUUGCAGAUAUUAAAGGAGUUAUGAAUAUGAAUAUGAAUAAAAUCUUGAUGCACGUAUUGUGCUGCCUCUGAUUAUAGAUUUAAAGAACAUCAAAUAUGAUAGUUGGAGUUCAAAUUUCAUCCUGCUUGUAUAGAAAUGACACUAGAGGAGGCUAAACAUAUAUAGCUUAUGUAAUGGUCUUGGUAGACUUAUUUCUUGCAAAACCACAAUCUUUAAACUUAGGGUUGCAUCUCAAAGGAAACGGGAACAACUCGGAAUCUUAUACAAAAAGAUCGUGUGCUUACUGCUGAAUUUUCUUUUAUAUGAAACGCUACUUGAAUGAAAAGUAGUUUGUUCUUUGUUUGGUAAUGUCUUUGAAAUUGGUGAUCGUAGGUAUAUCUAAUCAGAUUAGUGAAAGGCUUCACUAAUCUCAACAUAACUAUUUUCCUAAAUGACCCAUUUUGUUACCAUGCCCGACCAGGUAUAAGUUAAUAUAUUCUCAAUUUCAAAAUUUUAAUGACUAUGUCAAAAGUAGUAUUCUAACAAAAUUAGGAACUUUUAUAUGAGAGUUAAGACAUGAGUGUUUUACCACGCAUCGGUGCUCUAAGAGAGAUAGCAUUCCCAUCCUUUUCUUCUUUUAAUCAUUUUAUGAGUCUGUAUAUGAAUCUAGAAUACUUUCUUAUAGAAAGUUAGGUAGACGUUAUUUGUUAUAUAUUAUGUUUAUAUAGAAAAAGUAUAUCAUUUCUUUAGUCAUGCAUGAAUUUUAUUUUGCUGCGUUUCAAUUCUAGGGAUCUACAACUGAUCAUGAUAGAGCUCUAGAAGACAUGUAGAGAAUGUCAUUUCUUUUGAUAAAGUCACAUCUAUUUCAGGUGUUCUAUAUACACUUCUAAAAGAAGAAAGACGAGUCGGUAUACCAAGAGAGCUACUAAGGGUAUUCAGGUUUACAAUGGUAUACCUUUACAAUGAGCUACAAAAGUGCCACUUAUGAUUACGUUUGAUGUCGAAGGUCUGCCAAAGUGAUCCUCUGCUGAUGAAGACAAAAUCGGAAGAAGCAAAGGUGUGCUAUGGCUUAACACAUGUUAAAGACCAAGAAAUGAUAUUCAACAGAUGUUGUUGCUCAGCAAAGGUUAACAAUGUAACAAUGCUUAGGCUAAUAGCAGAUGUUAGGAGUUUAUUAUGCUGUUUGAUCAUAGUUAAUGUUUGUUGAAAGUCAAGUUGCAUUGCAUGUAUUGAUUUUUUUCAAAGUAAAUAUUUUAACUUUGUUAGUAUAUUCAUUUGAUGUUUUACAACUUCUGUAUCGAAGUUUAAUAAGCACAUUUGCAACAGAUAUGAACA
Helianthus annuus (common sunflower) is the source of this 2533-nucleotide long non-coding RNA. RefSeq lists it as uncharacterized. The transcript is spliced from 6 exons. The record is from RefSeq and is a predicted model, not a curated record. Lineage: Eukaryota; Viridiplantae; Streptophyta; Magnoliopsida; Asterales; Asteraceae.